GACGGAGGAUGCAAGCGUUAUCCGGAAUGAUUGGGCGUAAAGGGUGCGUAGGCGGCCGAUUAAGUCAGAUGUGAAAUACCACGGCUCAACUGUGGGGGUGCAUUUGAAACUGGUUGGCUUGAGUGCAGGAGAGGAAAGUGGAAUUCCUAGUGUAGCGGUGAAAUGCGUAGAUAUUAGGAGGAACACCAGUGGCGAAGGCGACUUUCUGGACUGUAACUGACGCUGAGGCACGAAAGCGUGGGGAGCAAACAGG
This 253-nucleotide ribosomal RNA is filed under the name uncultured bacterium. RNAcentral describes it as "partial 16S ribosomal RNA". It matches the Rfam family "Bacterial small subunit ribosomal RNA", at positions 524 to 776 of the family's 1533-position model. The record is from RNAcentral.